GACGGAGGGUGCUAGCGUUGUUCGGAAUCACUGGGCGUAAAGGGCGCGUAGGCGGCCUUGCAAGUCGGUUGGUGAAAGCCCGGGGCUCAACCCCGGAGGUGCGGCCGAGACUGCAGGGCUGGAGGCCGGAAGAGGAGGGUGGAAUACCCAGUGUAGAGGUGAAAUUCGUAGAUAUCGGGAGGAACACCAGUGGCGAAGGCGGCGACCUGGGCCAAUAUUGACGCUGAGGUGCGAAAGCGUGGGGAGCAAACAGG
This 254-nucleotide ribosomal RNA is filed under the name uncultured bacterium. RNAcentral describes it as "partial 16S ribosomal RNA". It matches the Rfam family "Bacterial small subunit ribosomal RNA", at positions 524 to 776 of the family's 1533-position model. The record is from RNAcentral.